RNAcentral lists this ribosomal RNA (502 nucleotides) under uncultured bacterium. RNAcentral's name for it is "partial 16S ribosomal RNA". It matches the Rfam family "Bacterial small subunit ribosomal RNA", at positions 28 to 507 of the family's 1533-position model. The record is from RNAcentral.
GACGAACGCUGGCGGCGUGCCUAAUACAUGCAAGUCGAACGAACCGCGACUAAGUGCUUGCACUAAGUCAAGGUGAGUGGCGAACGGGUGAGUAACACGUGGGUAACCUACCUCAUAGUGGGGGAUAACAGUCGGAAACGACUGCUAAUACCGCAUAGGACAUAGGAUCACAUGAUCCAGUGAGGAAAGGUGGCGCAAGCUAUCGCUAAGAGAUGGACCCGCGGUGCAUUAGCUAGUUGGUAGGGUAAAGGCCUACCAAGGCGAUGAUGCAUAGCCGACCUGAGAGGGUGAUCGGCCACAUUGGGACUGAGACACGGCCCAGACUCCUACGGGAGGCAGCAGUGGGGAAUCUUCCACAAUGGACGCAAGUCUGACGGAGCAACGCCGCGUGAGUGAAGAAGGUCUUCGGAUCGUAAAGCUCUGUUGUUAGAGAAGAACAGCGCAUAGAGUAACUGCUAUGCGUGUGACGGUAUCUAACCAGAAAGCCACGGCUAACUACGUG